CUACAGCUUGGUCAUUAAUCCCAUUAAAAUUCCAUUGUUGGACGGUUACACGAGCCAUUAUACCUGAUAAUCAAUUUCUGACGUUACACGUUACAGGAACCUCUUGGGGUGUUACUACAUAUAUCACCUGAUAGGUUGUCAUCUUUACAGGUUUCUCCGUUUCUUUCUUCAGCAUACUCUCUCAUUUUUUUUUUGUUAAGUCCAACAGCACUCUCUCAAGAAUAUGAGGUAACUACUAUCUUAAUCAGUAUAAUUUUGUUUUAGACUUUUAUUUGAUUUAUAUAUUUGAUUGGAUUGGUAAACAACUCUGAGACCUGUAUACCAAAAAACUAAGUAUUCUCUUUUGGGAGACGAAGAAGAACAUGAAACUCACUAAGUAUCGAUUUUUUUUAAUGUUUUCCUCAUUAAUAGAACAACAUUCUCUAAUGAAGAAGAAUCACGGUACUCUCUUCGUUAUCGGUUUUUUCUCUAGAAUUUGUACUUUCUGCAGAGGAGAGCAGUAGUAGAAUAAGAUUGGUGGUUAGUCAUGCUAAAGCAGCAGUAAGUAUUGCUGUUAUGUAAAAUUACUGUUACACAUUCAGAACUGCACGUCAUGUAUCUGUGGAAAUGCCUGACUGAAGAAAGUAGUGAUGCAAGUUAUUCUAUUCUCUUAAUCAGGUGCAAUAUAUGUAAAUGAAUGCAAUGCAUCUAUCCACUACUCAGGGAAACUCCACCUUAGAAAAUAUUCUUGAAAUGCUAAAAGAUACUAUUGAUCCAGCCAAAGCCAUGUAUAUAUUUGUAUCAAGAGGACAAAUUUGAUGGUGACAACAUUGCUCAAAUGAUAGUGGCUUUGACAAGCAAAUUGUUUAGAUGGUGAUGAAAUUAUGCUCUGAGCGUGGGAUUUGCUUUAUGUGAGUCUCUCAUGGAAUCUUCAUCUCCUAACACCAAUAAUAUGGCGCGUAAAACCUUCACUAAUACCAAACCACUUCCAUCUCAACCAGAAGCCUUGCUUGCGCACUUGCUUGAGUAAAAUCACAACAGAUCAUCAACCAGAAGAAAAAAAAACUCUCUGAACUUUUGUUGGCAAAUCGGGACCUUGAAGUAGCAGAGUAAAAAACAACUUAGGGGAACAUAAAAUGGUACAAAUCAUGAUAAUGAUACUCAUACAUUGCAAAAUGUAAAUGCCAAAUGCGCUGAAUAUGCGGCUUUAGCAAGGAGGGGAUGGAAUUUGGGCUUGGAUAGGCGGCUAUCUCCCUCGACAACAGAUUGCUAGCAGCAAUGCUAGCGCUGAGCAGCGGAUGAAAUCCGGCAGAUUUGGUCCUCUCCUUAUCUCUCAUUUGCAACCUUAGAUUCUUUAAUUUUA
Molecule: long non-coding RNA, 1342 nt
Organism: Papaver somniferum (opium poppy)
Lineage: Eukaryota; Viridiplantae; Streptophyta; Magnoliopsida; Ranunculales; Papaveraceae
Exons: 3
Source: RefSeq, a predicted model, not a curated record